Molecule: small nucleolar RNA, 125 nt
Organism: Caenorhabditis elegans
Lineage: Eukaryota; Metazoa; Nematoda; Chromadorea; Rhabditida; Rhabditidae
Source: Ensembl
AUGCACACAGAAAGUCGAGAUUGCCGGCUUCAAAGGCUUUAUCGUUGAUUACGUGUGCUAUAACAACGCCAUAGGUAUCAUUCUUCGUCUUCUUAGGCGCGGAACAUCUAAAUAUGGCUACAUUU